Molecule: long non-coding RNA, 1387 nt
Filed under: Homo sapiens (human)
Lineage: Eukaryota; Metazoa; Chordata; Mammalia; Primates; Hominidae
Description: HSALNT0054616
Source: RNAcentral
CAAGAGAAGCCACUGGGUUGUGGCCCACAGACAAGCAAACUGAGGCCCAGGGAAGUGCCAGGCCUUGCCCAAGGCCAUACAUCUGUGAGUGGUGCAGCCUCUCUGCCUGUCCGUCAUCACUAGCUCUGCUGAGCCAGGCCCUGGCCAGGGCUCUGACCACCAAGGUGACCACAACUGGAACCCACUCUCACAGAGCCCCUAUCCCAAUGGGGAAGCAACCAGGUACCUGUUAGACAAGGAGCCUGGAGGUAGUUCCUGACCAGCCUGGUGGACAUGGAGGACUUCCCAGGGGAGGAGGAAAAGCAGCAUGACAGCGGCCAUCAUGCUGGGAAGGACCUUAAAUGACUCAGUGUGCCUAAGCUCGGGGAGUGGCAGGAAUUGGGGUCAGGGUUGCUAGAGAGUGAGGCUUCUUGGACCAGGUCAUUACAAUGCCCAUUUUGCCCACAUUUCUCCUGAGCUCCUGCCUGAAUGGGCAUGACCUGCUGGCCAGGGGCACCCUGGGGCAAUGCUCACCAUGUGGACUUGGUCCUUGGAGACCCUCCACUAGUUCUUCCUGAUGCCGGGAGCACCAGUCAGUCAGUGGACCGGACAGUCAGUGACCAAGGAGUGUGGCCCUGGGUUUCUCCCUCCCUCCUUCUCCCCUGGCUGAGGACCGGCUGCCUGACUCUCUAGGGGCCCCAGCUCAGGCCUCAGGAGGGAGCACACUGGAGCAGUGUGGCCUGGAACUGAGAGCAGAGGCCCCAGGUCCCCAGGGAGGGGAUGCUUCCUCCCCUGGGAGAGCGUGGCAUCAUUCGGCACACAGAGAGCUCCCUUCUAACCCCAGACCAAAUUAGCCUUCCAAAUUAUAGGCUGCGUUUCCUCUAAAUUGGAGACUGGGUGGGAGAACAGAGGCCCGGCUCUCCUUCCUGCUUCCUGUUCACAGAGGGCCCUCAGUUGGUCUAGUCCCAGAUCACAGGACCACAUUCAGAAAGAAUUCAGGACACACACACCCUCCUGCCCCUCAGUUCAGGGAUCCCCAGGUCCCAGACCAGCAUCCAGGGCUCAGGGGAAGCCUGUACCCUUCUGGGGUUUGACAACGAACUUAGAGCCAGCAUGGUUCAGAUAAGGCCAACCCAGAGUUCUGAGGUCAUUUUCCGGGGGGAAGUCAUUCAUUCAAAAAACACUUUCUGGGUACAUUCUCUGUGCCAGGUACAGGACAGAAUGAGAAGGUGCACAGGUGGCUGUGGGAAUGCCUGGUGAGGUUAGGGAGGGCUUCCUGGAGGAAGAGGCAUAUAAACUGAGACCCCAAAAAAUGAAUGUGCUCUUGGUGAGGGGAAGAGAGGGGAAGACAAUUAUAGGAGGAAGGAGCAUUGAACGAAAAUCCCAGGAGCAGAGAGUGAGGGAGUGG